ACAAGCUAUUCACAAGUUAAUUAAAUUUACAAUUGUGCUCACUUCUUUUCUUAUAGUUAAUCAUCGGAAAUUUAUUAUCUUAGUUUUAAUUUUAGUAAUCUCUCAACUCACAAAAAAUCUUAAUCCUUUGAAAAUCAUAAAGAUGUUGAUGGAAUACUUCGAAGAAGACGAAAGGAUUCACUUUGAUCCAACGUACUAAGAAGUCAUCAACGAUUAAUCUUAAACGUGAGCUAAGAUGUGAAGACUCCAGAAACUUCAUAGUGAUGAAGGAUGUUUAUGCCAAGGAGCCAUGGUUGCUUGACCAUUCCAACAAUUCUUUUUUCAAAGAAGACGAGUGGUACUACUUCUCGACAAGAACUCAAAUCUCCGAGAAGAAGAUUGGUCGUGGUAAGUAUUCAAAGGGGAGAUCACGGGAGACAACAACAAUGGCAUCGGCCGCGGGAAUUGGAGGGUGAAUGAGAAAGAAUAUAUCAUCGACAAGGACAUAGGGGAUAUCAUUGGGAUCAAGAAAAACCUAACAGAUAAGAGCGGCAACUAAACCAAUAAAUCAUGAUUCAACGAUUUGGUCGUACAAUUUGUCAAGUAUUUUAUCAUCUAUAUUUUAAAGUACCAUGCAGGAGAUAGCUUUUUGGGUUAUUGGUUUAUUGGUUGUGACUUGUGAUUUAAGCCA
RNAcentral lists this small RNA (670 nucleotides) under Arabidopsis thaliana (thale cress). RNAcentral's name for it is "ATSL175670". Lineage: Eukaryota; Viridiplantae; Streptophyta; Magnoliopsida; Brassicales; Brassicaceae. The record is from RNAcentral.